AGCAGCCGCGGUAAUUCCAGCUCCAAUAGCGUAUAUUAAAGUUGUUGCAGUUAAAAAGCUCGUAGUUGAAUUUCGGAAUCUGUCCGUUGGUCGGGCUUCACUGUCCGUACUGGUGUGAUGGGUUUCUACCUUCUGAAUAACCGGCAUGUCAUUAAUUUGGUGCGCCGGGGAAGCAGAACUAUUACCUUGAAAAAUUAGAGUGCUUAAAGCAGGCUAUCGCCUGAAUAGAUUAGCAUGGAAUAAUAAAAUAGGACGGCAUGGUUCUAUUUUGUUGGUUUCUAGGAUCACCGUAAUGAUUAAUAGGGAUAGUUGGGGGCAUUAGUAUUCAAUUGUCAGAGGUGAAAUUCUUGGAUUUAUUGAAGACUAACUUCUGCGAAAGCAUUUGCCAAGGAUGUUUUCAUUAAUCAAGAACGAAAGUUAGGGGAUCGAAGACGAUCAGAUACCGUCGUAGUCUUAACCAUAAACUAUGCCGACUAGGGAUCGGACGAUGUUAAUUUUUAAUGACUCGUUCGGCGUCCUU
Molecule: ribosomal RNA, 520 nt
Filed under: uncultured Acaulospora
Lineage: Eukaryota; Fungi; Glomeromycota; Glomeromycetes; Diversisporales; Acaulosporaceae
Description: SSU rRNA
Rfam family: Eukaryotic small subunit ribosomal RNA
Source: RNAcentral